UACGGGAGGCAGCAGUGGGGAAUAUUGCACAAUGGGCGCAAGCCUGAUGCAGCCAUGCCGCGUGUAUGAAGAAGGCCUUCGGGUUGUAAAGUACUUUCAGUCGUGAGGAAGGUGUUAAGGUUAAUAACCUUAGCAAUUGACGUUAGCGACAGAAGAAGCACCGGCUAACUCCGUGCCAGCAGCCGCGGUAAUACGGAGGGUGCGAGCGUUAAUCGGAAUUACUGGGCGUAAAGGGCACGCAGGCGGUUAAUUAAGUUGGAUGUGAAAUCCCCGGGCUUAACCUGGGAAUGGCAUUCAAGACUGGUUAGCUAGAGUCUUGUAGAGGGGGUAGAAUUCCAUGUGUAGCGGUGAAAUGCGUAGAGAUGUGGAGGAAUACCGGUGGCGAAGGCGGCCCCUGGACAAAGACUGACGCUCAUGUGCGAAAGCGUGGGGAGCAAAACAGGGAUUAGAUACC
RNAcentral lists this ribosomal RNA (454 nucleotides) under uncultured bacterium. Its description in RNAcentral is "bacterial SSU rRNA". It matches the Rfam family "Bacterial small subunit ribosomal RNA", at positions 340 to 786 of the family's 1533-position model. The record is from RNAcentral.